GACCAGGCUUCAUUCCCC
This 18-nucleotide microRNA is filed under the name Prunus persica (peach). Its description in RNAcentral is "microRNA miRNA_256". The record is from RNAcentral. Lineage: Eukaryota; Viridiplantae; Streptophyta; Magnoliopsida; Rosales; Rosaceae.